RNAcentral lists this ribosomal RNA (380 nucleotides) under uncultured eukaryote. Its description in RNAcentral is "partial 18S ribosomal RNA". It matches the Rfam family "Eukaryotic small subunit ribosomal RNA", at positions 592 to 976 of the family's 1831-position model. The record is from RNAcentral.
CAAUAGCGUAUAUUAAAGUUGUUGCAGUUAAAAAGCUCGUAGUUGGAUUUGUGGCGUACGGUGUGUUCCGGGCACUUGUUGUCUGAGUAACCUGCUGUUGCCAUCCUUGGGUGGAACCUGUGUGGCAUUAGGUUGUCGUGCAGGGGAUGCCCAUCAUUUACUGUGAAAAAAUUAGAGUGUUCAAAGCAGGCUUAUGCCGUUGAAUAUAUUAGCAUGGAAUAAUGAGAUAGGACUUUCUUGCUAUUUUGUUGGUUUGCGCAAAGAGGUAAUGAUUAAUAGGGACAGUUGGGGGUAUUCGUAUUCCAUUGUCAGAGGUGAAAUUCUUGGAUUUACGGAAGACGAACUACUGCGAAAGCAUUUACCAAGGAUGUUUUCAUUAA